CGUCGCUUCUCCGCGCUCGGAGAUCUGAUGACGGU
RNAcentral lists this non-coding RNA (35 nucleotides) under Spodoptera frugiperda (fall armyworm). The record is from RNAcentral. Lineage: Eukaryota; Metazoa; Arthropoda; Insecta; Lepidoptera; Noctuidae.